UAAGACAAAGCCAAACCCGCCGCGAGACGGGGACGGAAAGCCACGGAUCUUCUGAGAAAGCCGGGCCGCCUGCA
Molecule: regulatory RNA element, 74 nt
Organism: Desulfofustis glycolicus DSM 9705
Lineage: Bacteria; Pseudomonadati; Thermodesulfobacteriota; Desulfobulbia; Desulfobulbales; Desulfocapsaceae
Rfam family: c-di-GMP-I-GGC riboswitch aptamer
Source: Rfam